AGCCUUCUGUAUCCAUGCUGAGAUUUUAAUCACACACCAGACCACAAGGGCUGAUGAGACUUCUCAGAUCAGUGAAGCG
This 79-nucleotide microRNA precursor is filed under the name Schistosoma curassoni. Its description in RNAcentral is "mir-3492 microRNA precursor family". It matches the Rfam family "mir-3492 microRNA precursor family". Lineage: Eukaryota; Metazoa; Platyhelminthes; Trematoda; Strigeidida; Schistosomatidae. The record is from Rfam by way of RNAcentral.